AUUGAACGCUGGCGGCAUGCUUUACACAUACAAGUCGGACGGCAGCACAGAGAAGCUUGCUUCUUGGGUGGCGAGUGGCGAACGGGUGAGUAACAUAUCGGAACGUACCGAGCAGUGGGGGAUAACUAAUCGAAAGAUUAGCUAAUACCGCAUAUAUUCUGAGGAAGAAAGCAGGGGACCAUUUGGCCUUGCGCUGUUUGAGCGGCCGAUAUCUGAUUAGCUAGUUGGUGGGGUAAAGGCCUACCAAGGCGACGAUCAGUAGCGGGUCUGAGAGGAUGAUCCGCCACACUGGGACUGAGACACGGCCCAGACUCCUACGGGAGGCAGCAGUGGGGAAUUUUGGACAAUGGGCGCAAGCCUGAUCCAGCCAUGCCGCGUGUCUGAAGAAGGGCUUCGGGUUGUAAAGGACUUUUGUCAGGGAAGAAAAGGAUAGGGUUAAUACCCCUGUCUGAUGAC
This 456-nucleotide ribosomal RNA is filed under the name Neisseria pharyngis. RNAcentral's name for it is "bacterial SSU rRNA". It matches the Rfam family "Bacterial small subunit ribosomal RNA", at positions 30 to 486 of the family's 1533-position model. Lineage: Bacteria; Pseudomonadati; Pseudomonadota; Betaproteobacteria; Neisseriales; Neisseriaceae. The record is from RNAcentral.